CCCAUCCGAACGACUAGACAGCUGUCCUUGUCAGCCCCUCCGUCCUGCAUCACUGACAAGGGAGAACCACGCCGGAAAAUCGGGAUGGACACUAUCUUUGUAAAUAACGACCCAAACGUGUGAGGAAGGUACCGGAGGGAGGGGGGGGUGUUAUCAAAUAAUUGAAACUAAUCUCAUGGUGACGUUUGUUAUCGGGUGUUAUCAUAUGAUAUCUAUAUCAUCACAUCGUGAUCGCUUGCGAAAUACACAGACGUCAAGUCCAGCGAAAAUUACAAAUUUCUAAAUAUAUUCAUGGGUCAAAGUUCAGCGAAUAUUGAGCAACAUCUAUUCUGUAUAUUGAUCACUGACACCCCCCGAUAAAACAGUGUGGGUUGAGUUUCGUAGAGUCAUCAAAGUCGUAUAGUUAAUAUUCUUUUUAAAACAUGGAUCCAAAGUUUCAAGGUCAAGGUCAAGGUUACCCCCCUCCUCCAGCAGGAGCUUACCCACCUCCUCAGAAUCAAUAUGGAGGUCCUCCACCGGGGUAUGGCUAUGACCAGCAGCAUGGACACCAUGGUGGUAGUAAUGUGGUUGUAGUUGGUCAGCCAAGUCAUCAACAUACAGUUAUUGUAGAGAGACAGGGAGUAAACCAUGUGCUACAUUUUUGUAUCAGUCUGUUUUUCUGGCCCUGGGUUAUCGUUUGGAUCGUACUGUGUAUUACUGACAACCCUUAGUUAAAGAAAAAACGUAGAAAUUGAAGAAAGUUUGAAAUACUUGUGAUUUAAAGCGAAUUCAGCAUCACUCAAUAUAAUAUUUGGUCAACUUGGUUCUCAGAUAUUUUUGUAGAUUUUUCUUGCUUUACAAAAGUGAAUAAGGAUAAAACUAAAGGCCCAUUAGAGUUAGUUCGUUAUUUUUUUUAUGGCCGCAAUUUUUAUGUGUCCAGACAAAUUGUAAAAGACCCGAGCACUUAAUAUUCUAAUGAAGAUAACAGCCAACAACUACAAAAUGACCCACUGCACCGGUUUGCAACACACCACAGUUACAUAGUUCCAUUUAAAUAUUUCACAGCAGCAGAAAAUUAUAUAUAACUUAAAUGAAUAGACGAUAUGGUGGCGCCUUUUAAACAUGCAUUAUGGAAGAUUAGAUAAAAAGAUGGCAGUUCUCACUAUAAUAGUUAAAAUCUAUAUGAUGUAAUGGGAAUAUGCUGAAAAUUUUAGUCAAAUCGAUCCACUCUUAGUCGAGAAAACCUUAUUUUAACAUCACUAUAGCCUAGAUUGUCAUUGUUACCGCGGUCGCGAUAAUUAAUAAAAUUUUCGAUUAUCCAGUUUUGUGUUUAAUCAUCAACGGUCGUUGAUCAGCAGAUCGGAUUCAAAUCCAUAGAAAAUCGGAUACAUAUAAGACGUCAUCCAGAGUUGAUUAUGGUCUUUCCAUGUUAACAAAUGUCUAAUUAAUAGUUUCUAUAACAUUUCAGACCUAGACAAAGACUUGCAGUAGGUAGAUUUAUCUCUUGCAUAAUGUAUGUUUAACUCAUUGCUCGUGCACCAUAUUAAGUAUGUUUUAGUCCAUAUGUUUAUGAAUUCACUGUUGAAUUGAACAAACAACAUGCUUAAACCUUUAAAAUACUGAAAUAAUUUCAAAAAGAGAAAAAAUGUAAAAUAAGUAAUUUAUUAUGUACAAAUCUUUAUUUGUUUUAUUUAUCUUGAAUUAUAUAAAUAAUUUUUAUAUUUUGCUUUCAUGAA
Molecule: long non-coding RNA, 1715 nt
Organism: Patella vulgata (common limpet)
Lineage: Eukaryota; Metazoa; Mollusca; Gastropoda; Patellidae
Exons: 5
Source: RefSeq, a predicted model, not a curated record